RNAcentral lists this ribosomal RNA (294 nucleotides) under Triticum aestivum (bread wheat). RNAcentral describes it as "partial small subunit ribosomal RNA". The record is from RNAcentral. Lineage: Eukaryota; Viridiplantae; Streptophyta; Magnoliopsida; Poales; Poaceae.
AUGAGGCACUAUUUUGUGGAGAAUCCCACAUACCCGGAGUCAUAUUUUUGUUACCGGUUUAGGAUGAGCACCAACUUGUUCAGGCGCAUUGUAGAGAAACUAGCGAGCCAUGACCGGUUUUUUCAGCAAAGGAGGAAUGCCGUCGGAGAGCUUGGGCAUAGCACCUUUCAGAAGGUGGCAGACGCUUUGCGUAUGUUGGCAUAUAGUAUCCCGGCUGAUCUAGUUGAUGAUCACUUGGCUAUGGGUGAGAUCCAAGCCAUCAUGUGUGUCAAGCGCUUUGCAGUGGGAAUGUAA